UUACGUUGAGCUUCUUCAAUGAAGCUGCAGUCAGACCCACGCCAGGCAACGGGGGCAUGGG
This is a regulatory RNA element of Synechococcus sp., 61 nucleotides long. It matches the Rfam family "Glutamine-II riboswitch aptamer". From Rfam's summary of the family: The major groove of the PK provides the binding site for L-glutamine The record is from Rfam. Lineage: Bacteria; Bacillati; Cyanobacteriota; Cyanophyceae; Synechococcales; Synechococcaceae.